AAGAAAAGAAGGAAGGAAGGAAGAAAAAAUGAUCAAGGCAAAUGGAAGAACUUAUCAAAAGUCAAGAUAGGGGACCAGCAGAUUCUCAGCAAAAAUUGAUAUUCCCUUUGGUCAAGGACUGACUAUCUCCAAAGUAAGUGAAAUAUGGUGUGCUUGGAGCCCCCGAGCUGUGAACAUUACCAAGAUCCAUUAUUUCAGCAUGGUUGUCUCCAGGCUGGCUCCAGCACAUGAAGAAAGGACUUGCUGGUGAGUCUCUGCCUUGUAUUUCGAGACCGAUAAGGAAAGGCAAGUUCACUCGGAGCGCUUGGGGAGGAGAGGCCCUGAUGGCAUGGCCUGUGCGGCCUCUCACCCAGGGAUUGCCCACCUCCCCGUUCUGUGUGCCCUGCUCAUUUGGAGAGCAGAAGGUAAGGGAGAGGGGGAGGGGGCCUACUCUGAGGGCCUCGCAGGCGCUAGCUAGCGAGCUCCUUAUCUGCAGACUUGGCAAAUUCUUUACAACAUCUGAUCAAGGAAGGCCUUUUUUGAUGUUUCUGCAUGUUCUCGAUUUACUGCCCUGCUGCUGGGAUGUGACGUUGCCCUUAUCAGGAGCCCCUUCAGAGCUUUCCAGGCGGGUUGCAAAGUCUGCGUGUUUUUAAAUAAACAGCAAGCCAGUUGCAGAAUGUUGCUUCUUUGAGGCUAAAGCAACAUUUGGAUAGGAGAGCAAAUGCCAGACCCUAGUGAUCUCCUGCCUUUUAUCUGGUUCUUACCCCUCCUCUCUUCUCUUCCUGUCUCCCCUCAAGCUCCCCUUCUUGCUCAUUCUGCUCUCAGGACCUUCUCUGCAUGUCUCUGGGACCUGGGCUGAGUUACGGGAAGCUGCUCGCAACCUCCAGGAUUCUGCCUUGUAUCUCCUUGAGCCUGGCUCUGCAGACGACAGACGGAAGACUUACCGGGAGAAGGGGCUGGCCGUUUGGACUUUCCAUCUGCUAUUCCCCCAAGCCUGCAAAGCUCUGAUCUGUAUGUCUAGUAUAGGGGGCUCCAACCAGGUGAGGAGAAGGAAGGGGCCUUGGACGGAGGCUGAUUCAUGCGGGAACAGCCAAGUCGUCAGUGUGUGGUCUCAAACUAUGGAGGGAAAAGCCUCUCUUCCUUACCUACUCCUGUAUCAUGACUCGCACUCCCUGGGAAGUCAUAACGUCCCCAUCCCAUGCCCACUGGAAGAAUCUGGAAAGAGAUGUCCUCAAAGAGGAUGCUUCCCAAAGACACUUUAAUAACUCCCUUUCCGUUUUCCUAGGCCUGUUGUAGUACAACACACCUGAGCCCUUCAACUUCAACUUUAAGAUCCAUCAUGUUCAAAGUGCCCAUAUCUUUUCCUUCUUUCUUUCUUUCUCUCUUCCUUCCUUCCUUCCUUCCUUCCU
Tupaia belangeri chinensis (Chinese tree shrew) is the source of this 1388-nucleotide long non-coding RNA. RefSeq lists it as uncharacterized. The record is from RefSeq and is a predicted model, not a curated record. The transcript has 3 exons. Lineage: Eukaryota; Metazoa; Chordata; Mammalia; Scandentia; Tupaiidae.